GUCUGUCUGUCUGUCUGUCUGUCUGUCUUUCCAUCUGUCUGUCAGUCCAUUCGUGUUUCUGUCUUUCCGUCUGCCUGUCUGUCUUUCUGUCCGUCAGUCUUUCAGUCUGUCUGUCUGUCUGUCUGUCUGUCUGUCUUUCCGUCUGUCUGUCUGUCUGUCUGUCUUUCCGUCCGUCUAUCUGUAUGUCUCUCUGUUCAUCUGUCAGUCCAUCCGUGUUUCUGUCUUUCCGUCUGUCUUUCUGUCCGUCGGUCUUUCUGUCUGUCUGUUUCUCCGUCCAUCAGUCCAUCCGUGUUUCUGUCUUUCCGCCUGUCUGUCUGUCUUUCUGUCCGUCAAUCUUUCUGUCUGUCCGUCUGUCUGUCUGUCUGUCUUCUGUCUGUCUGUCUGUCUGUCUGUCUGUCUGUCUGUCUAUUCCAGUAUCAAACUAGUCAGAGACAGCGAUGUGAGGACAUCAACAGAAAAUUAAAAAACAAGAAGUAAAGCACCCUCAAUGCGAAUCAAACAACUGCUAGACUGAGGAGUUGAAGAAAAAAGGACAGCUGCACAAUCCAAAAACUGUGAAGGCAGUCUGUCGGCUACACAACUCGGAGGCACUAUCACCAAGAGCAAAGAUUAAGUUCACCACAUAAUAAGAAGGUCACCUUACUUUUAGUGGGAGCACUGGCUACAAGCUUGGAAUUGAAGGCCUUGAUAAAACUUACUUUGGGAAUUUUCAUUGUUAUUUCUAUUUUGGAUAUUUCUGUAUAGUUAUGUUGUGUCUAUUUUUGCUUUUA
Molecule: non-coding RNA, 770 nt
Organism: Misgurnus anguillicaudatus (oriental weatherfish)
Lineage: Eukaryota; Metazoa; Chordata; Actinopteri; Cypriniformes; Cobitidae
Source: RefSeq, a predicted model, not a curated record